RNAcentral lists this ribosomal RNA (468 nucleotides) under uncultured bacterium. Its description in RNAcentral is "partial 16S ribosomal RNA". It matches the Rfam family "Bacterial small subunit ribosomal RNA", at positions 28 to 507 of the family's 1533-position model. The record is from RNAcentral.
GAUGAACGCUGGCGGCGUGCUUAACACAUGCAAGUCGAACGGAAAGGCGCUGCUUUUGUGGGGUGCUCGAGUGGGGAGCGGGUGAGUAAAACGUGUGUAACAUGCCCUUGUCUUUGGGAUAACUUCAGGAAACUGGGGCUAAUACAGGAUAGGAGCUCCUGCUGCAUGGUGGGGGUUGGAAAGUUUCGGCGGUUGGGGAUGGACUCGCGGCUUAUCAGCUUGUUGGUGGGGUAGUGGCUUACCAAGGCUUUGACGGGUAGCCGGCCUGGGAGGGUGGCCGGGGUCAAGACGACUAAGGGACGGACCAGACGCGAACGUGAGGCAGCAGGGGAAAAUAUGACGCAAUGAUCGGGAGCCUGAUACAACAACGCCGCGUGCGUAAAGAUGUCCUACUGGUGGUGAACCGAUUUCGCCUGUGACGAAGCGUGAUUGACGGUAAUUGGUAAAGAAGCACCGGCUAACUACGUG